Molecule: unclassified non-coding RNA, 314 nt
Filed under: Sistotrema sp.
Lineage: Eukaryota; Fungi; Basidiomycota; Agaricomycetes; Cantharellales; Hydnaceae
Description: partial contains 5.8S ribosomal RNA, internal transcribed spacer 2, and large subunit ribosomal RNA
Source: RNAcentral
CGCACCUUGCGCUCCUUGGUAUUCCGAGGAGCACGCCUGUUCGAGUGUCAUGAAACUCUCAAACACUAGAUUUUUGUUAAUCAAGUGUUUGGACUUGGGCUUUGCUGCGAAAGCGGCUGGCCUUAAAUAUAUCAGCUAGUCUCUUGAUUGAGAUUUGGUUCUACUCGACGUGAUAAUUAUCUAUCGUUGAGGACAUUGCUUGUCGCAAGACUCGUGAUGGCCAGGACUCUCAAAGACUGCUUCUAAUCGUCUUGCAAAGGACAAUACUUUCAUCAUUUGACCUCGAAUCAGGUGGGACUACCCGCUGAACUUAA